CCGUCCGAGCCCCUCGUUGGCCGGUGACAAGUAUGACAACCCUUGCCUUUUUUGCGCACCCUUCGUUUCCUCGGCAGCUCUGCCUGCCAGCGGGGACCCCCAAACAACCUUUUUGUAAUACCCGUAUAACCUUCUGAAAAACCCAAUUAUUA
Molecule: unclassified non-coding RNA, 152 nt
Filed under: uncultured Ascomycota
Lineage: Eukaryota; Fungi; Ascomycota
Description: sequence contains ITS1
Source: RNAcentral